AGUGAACGCUGGCGGUAGGCCUAACACAUGCAAGUCGAACGGCAGCACAGUAAGAGCUUGCUCCUACGGGUGGCGAGUGGCGGACGGGUGAGGAAUACAUCGGAAUCUACUUUUUCGUGGGGGAUAACGUUGGGAAACUUACGCUAAUACCGCAUACGACCUACGGGUGAAAGCAGGGGAUCUUCGGACCUUGCGCGAUUGAAUGAGCCGAUGUCGGAUUAGCUAGUUGGCGGGGUAAAGGCCCACCAAGGCGACGAUCCGUAGCUGGUCUGAGAGGAUGAUCAGCCACACUGGAACUGAGACACGGUCCAGACUCCUACGGGAGGCAGCAGUGGGGAAUAUUGGACAAUGGGCGCAAGCCUGAUCCAGCCAUACCGCGUGGGUGAAGAAGGCCUUCGGGUUGUAAAGCCCUUUUGUUGGGAAAGAAAAGCAGCAGGUUAAUACCCCGCUGUUCUGACGGUACCCAAAGAAUAAGCACCGGCUAACUUCGUG
RNAcentral lists this ribosomal RNA (492 nucleotides) under uncultured bacterium. RNAcentral describes it as "partial 16S ribosomal RNA". It matches the Rfam family "Bacterial small subunit ribosomal RNA", at positions 29 to 507 of the family's 1533-position model. The record is from RNAcentral.